Molecule: ribosomal RNA, 1299 nt
Filed under: Escherichia coli
Lineage: Bacteria; Pseudomonadati; Pseudomonadota; Gammaproteobacteria; Enterobacterales; Enterobacteriaceae
Description: partial 23S ribosomal RNA
Rfam family: Bacterial large subunit ribosomal RNA
Source: RNAcentral
UUAGGCGUGUGACUGCGUACCUUUUGUAUAAUGGGUCAGCGACUUAUAUUCUGUAGCAAGGUUAACCGAAUAGGGGAGCCGAAGGGAAACCGAGUCUUAACUGGGCGUUAAGUUGCAGGGUAUAGACCCGAAACCCGGUGAUCUAGCCAUGGGCAGGUUGAAGGUUGGGUAACACUAACUGGAGGACCGAACCGACUAAUGUUGAAAAAUUAGCGGAUGACUUGUGGCUGGGGGUGAAAGGCCAAUCAAACCGGGAGAUAGCUGGUUCUCCCCGAAAGCUAUUUAGGUAGCGCCUCGUGAAUUCAUCUCCGGGGGUAGAGCACUGUUUCGGCAAGGGGGUCAUCCCGACUUACCAACCCGAUGCAAACUGCGAAUACCGGAGAAUGUUAUCACGGGAGACACACGGCGGGUGCUAACGUCCGUCGUGAAGAGGGAAACAACCCAGACCGCCAGCUAAGGUCCCAAAGUCAUGGUUAAGUGGGAAACGAUGUGGGAAGGCCCAGACAGCCAGGAUGUUGGCUUAGAAGCAGCCAUCAUUUAAAGAAAGCGUAAUAGCUCACUGGUCGAGUCGGCCUGCGCGGAAGAUGUAACGGGGCUAAACCAUGCACCGAAGCUGCGGCAGCGACGCUGAUGCGUUGUUGGGUAGGGGAGCGUUCUGUAAGCCUGUGAAGGUGUGCUGUGAGGCAUGCUGGAGGUAUCAGAAGUGCGAAUGCUGACAUAAGUAACGAUAAAGCGGGUGAAAAGCCCGCUCGCCGGAAGACCAAGGGUUCCUGUCCAACGUUAAUCGGGGCAGGGUGAGUCGACCCCUAAGGCGAGGCCGAAAGGCGUAGUCGAUGGGAAACAGGUUAAUAUUCCUGUACUUGGUGUUACUGCGAAGGGGGGACGGAGAAGGCUAUGUUGGCCGGGCGACGGUUGUCCCGGUUUAAGCGUGUAGGCUGGUUUUCCAGGCAAAUCCGGAAAAUCAAGGCUGAGGCGUGAUGACGAGGCACUACGGUGCUGAAGCAACAAAUGCCCUGCUUCCAGGAAAAGCCUCUAAGCAUCAGGUAACAUCAAAUCGUACCCCAAACCGACACAGGUGGUCAGGUAGAGAAUACCAAGGCGCUUGAGAGAACUCGGGUGAAGGAACUAGGCAAAAUGGUGCCGUAACUUCGGGAGAAGGCACGCUGAUAUGUAGGUGAAGUCCCUCGCGGAUGGAGCUGAAAUCAGUCGAAGAUACCAGCUGGCUGCAACUGUUUAUUAAAAACACAGCACUGUGCAAACACGAAAGUGGACGUAUACGGUGUGACGCCUGCCCGGUGC